UCCGUUUGAGAGUGUCCGCAUGCUCUGACCGUCUUAUUUUGCUUUCCAGCCGGCUCAUUGAUUAAUCUGAUCUUCAUGGAAUAUCUCGAGUUGGUUAUAUGAUUUUUCAGCUAUUGGAAUUUUCCAGCUGGUCUCAACCCUGGGAUAACUUGCUGAAGGACAUCAAAGGAUAAAUUCAUCGUUGGAAUAACAGCUGGAAAUUUUAUCGUCUGUCGAUAAUGGAAGUGCGCGAGCGAGUGCAUGUGUGGGUUAUUCCUCAGCUGAUCUCACGAAAAACAUAAUCUAGCAAAAAAAAAUUAUUUUUGUUUAUUUUUUUUUAUAAAACAUGUCAACUUCAUAAAGUCUAAAAUAGUAACUAGAUGCUGUUAGUGUGGAAUAGUACAUAGUAUAUGAACAAAUGUUGUAGCAAACAUAGUAUAUCAUUCUGAAUCUAAUUCAUGGUAUAUCU
This 448-nucleotide unclassified non-coding RNA is filed under the name Nilaparvata lugens (brown planthopper). Its description in RNAcentral is "uncharacterized LOC120355058, transcript variant X1". The record is from RNAcentral. Lineage: Eukaryota; Metazoa; Arthropoda; Insecta; Hemiptera; Delphacidae.